RNAcentral lists this transfer RNA (94 nucleotides) under Drosophila mojavensis. It matches the Rfam family "tRNA". Rfam says of the family: Transfer RNA (tRNA) molecules are approximately 80 nucleotides in length. Their secondary structure includes four short double-helical elements and three loops (D, anti-codon, and T loops). Further hydrogen bonds mediate the characteristic L-shaped molecular structure. tRNAs have two regions of fundamental functional importance: the anti-codon, which is responsible for specific mRNA codon recognition, and the 3' end, to which the tRNAs corresponding amino acid is attached (by aminoacyl-tRNA synthetases). tRNAs cope with the degeneracy of the genetic code in two manners: having more than one tRNA (with a specific anti-codon) for a particular amino acid; and 'wobble' base-pairing, i.e. permitting non-standard base-pairing at the 3rd anti-codon position. Lineage: Eukaryota; Metazoa; Arthropoda; Insecta; Diptera; Drosophilidae. The record is from Rfam by way of RNAcentral.
CCUUCGAUAGCUCAGUUGGUAGAGCGGUGGACUGUAGAGAGACAUGCAAUGUGUAGAAAUCCAUAGGUCGCUGGUUCAAAUCCGGCUCGAAGGA